UUAAAACCAAAAAAAAAAAAACCAAACGGUCAACCAAAACU
Molecule: small RNA, 41 nt
Filed under: Arabidopsis thaliana (thale cress)
Lineage: Eukaryota; Viridiplantae; Streptophyta; Magnoliopsida; Brassicales; Brassicaceae
Description: ATSL295570
Source: RNAcentral